This is a long non-coding RNA of Oryza sativa Japonica Group (Japanese rice), 3345 nucleotides long. RefSeq lists it as uncharacterized. Lineage: Eukaryota; Viridiplantae; Streptophyta; Magnoliopsida; Poales; Poaceae. The record is from RefSeq and is a predicted model, not a curated record.
AGAAAAUAUGCGUAGGUUUUCAUUUAAAAGUACUGCUCAUAUCGUAUACGAAAUUUACAAACGUACUAAAAUACAAAAUUGAUACUCAAAAAAUUUUAAAAGUUUGGUCAAGUUCGAGCCUCCCUCUAUGCUAUCGUCGAACUUUAUCGCACCCUCCACACCAUUCCAUCGCUAUUCUGUUAGGAUCUAACCGUUUGAUAGCUCUGACAUGUGGGCUCGGGUAAGAAAAAUAUCGCUAUUGCCCUUUCAGUUACGGGCCCCACCUGUCAUUCUCUCACCUCUCUAUUUCCCCUCUUCUCCUCUUCAUCUUUCUCUCGUGAGCAGCGGUGGCCGGCAGCCGGUGACGGGCGACCCAUGGCGGCGGCGACCGAGGAGGCACCCUCAACCUCAACCUCACCAUCGGCCCCUUCCCCCGAAGCCCCAGCCCUCGCGGCCGCCCGCGCGCGCGUCAUCGUCGUCUCGACGCGCCACCUCCUAGCACCAUCCAAACUGGCGGCGGCGAGGCCCACACGCCGGGGAGAUGGGAGGGAGGCUCGGAGGGAGAGGGACGUCGCGCUCCAUCGAGUCACAUGGCGGAGGGAAGGGGUGCGAUAUAGGUUGUCGUCGUCGCACAGCACCACCCCGUCGUCGUCGUCGCAGCGCCGCCCUCGUCGUCGUCGUCGCAGCGCUGCCCCCGUCGUCGUCGUCGCAACGCCGUUCCCAUCUUCGUCGUCAUCGCAACUGCCGCCGCCGCAACAGCCGCGGCGUCAAGGUGGCAAGGCAGCCAAGCGGCGCCGGUGGCCAGCCGAGGCGGUGCUCGGUGGCGCGGCAGCAAGGCGGCCAAGCGGCGCUCGGCCUUCUCCUCGCUGGCUCGCUCCUGCGCCGCAUCGCCGUGCUCGACCCUGCCACCGCCGCCGUCGACGUAGGUGACGCCGCACCCUCGCCACGCCCAUCGGAAUCUGGCAAGCUCCACGCCGGCGACCUUGCCACCGCCGCCGUCGACGCAGGUGAGUAGCGGGGUCGUCGUCGGGGAUGCGCUGGAUCCUCGCCGCCAUGGGGGCCGCCGAGGAGGCCGCGGCGUCCGCGGCCGCCACCGCCGCCGUCCAGUGCUCUUCGUCGGUGGUGCCCUCCGUCCCGGCUCUCUCUCUCUUCUCUCUCAACCCUAAGGACAACAAAGUCAUUUGACUGCGCUGUUUGACACUGUUAGGACUAAAAACAGAUGGAAUAGUGUGGAGGGCGCGAUAAAGUUCGACGAUGGUAUAAAGGGAGGCUUGAACUUUUUAGUGACAGAAGGCAGGGGUCAUCUUUUUUAACGCGCACAGGCAAAAGCAAAAGUAAAAGCAGCUGGACAGCUGGUUGCGUGUGGCUCGCUGGGUGUGUGUGUCCUGCAGUAAUGUGUGCCUGUGAGGUGCAACUACUGUACAAGCUAGGGGUAGCUAGCUAGCGCCUAGGGUUAGCGCCCAGAGCCCCAGAGGAAGGCAUAGGCUAUCGAUCUCUCCCUCUCUGCCCUGCCUUUCUUGUUCGCUCGCUUAGAGAGAGAAGCAGCAUGGAGAGCGGAGGGCCGGGCGGGUAGCAGCUCCCCUCAGUUCCCCUCAGUUCUUCUUCCUCCCUCAGUUCUUUCUCCACCUCAGUGACUCCCACAGAGACCAUGAUUCACUCCGGCGGCCGCGGCCGCCGCCGCCGCCGUCGCCGUCGCCGCGGGAGCAAAGGGCCGUACGAGCGCGGCGGCGGCGGCGACGGGGACCAAGCUGCCAAGGGCUGCAUGGACGCGGCGGCGACGGGCGCAAAGACAGUUCUCCGGCGACUCUACGCUGUGCAAGAAGAAGGACAACACGCUGGACGAGGUGAAGGAGGUCGUCCAUGUGAAGCAAGAUGCUCCUCCACCAUCUUCUUUCUUGCCCAAUUCCUCGGGGUUACAAUCAUUAUUUGUCAAGGCAUGUGGGGUUAAUAUAUCUGUACAAGUGGAUUUAUCUAACACAAAAGUUGAUUAUCUAAUCAACUCUGCUUGUCAAAAGAUGAGAGUAAAUGUUAAGGACACAUAUGCAGUAUUAUGUGGAAAGAUUUUAGAGUACAAUAAGUCAAUAAGUCACUGUCAGACUAUCCUUUAUAUCGGAAUUCAACGAUUGAAAUCCGUUUUCGAGGAAGAGCCGGCCAGCCCAUGACAUUUGAUGAGAAGUUUGAUGAUAUCCAUGCGAACACAUGGUUCUACACGGUUGAUUUAGUACCUGCACUUCAACGUCAAACUCGUACAAAUCCGCCGGUUCUACCAUGGUUAUCAGUAAGAUACUUCUCGGACUUUGCAUCAUACAACAUCCAAAAGGUUUUGAACCACAUCACUGCAAUGCACUGGGAAAACCUGAGCUACAAUGGCGCUUUCAAUAGCGACAACAUCAUAUUUCACAAUGGUGCUGUUACCAUCCAGGGUGUUCUUACAGUACAAUUUAAUGGUGUGACAUGUGCAAAAGAUUUUGCAAAGCUUUAUUCCAUAUUCAUUGCAAAAUUUACACCACAUGGUAUUCCAUUGUACUUUAAUGAUCUGCUUGAGUACUUGAGGAAUUGUCCAAAUGGAGAGAAUUCCAAUGAUGAGGCUAUUGUGGCAUUUAUUAUCAAUCACCCCUGUCUCCAAUCUUAUUUAGAGAGGAUGUCACAAUUAGAGCAUCUUGAUAACAUUUAUCCUAGACAUCCUGGACAUUCUACAACAAAUAUAUCUGCUCUGGGAACAUUUUCUUGGCAAGACAAAGUCGUCAGGUCCCAGAAUUACGUCGUGCUUUUAUUUAUGGUCCCAAUGGAAGAGCAUAUUUGGUAAAUGGAGUGUGGCAUAAUCUAAAUCCUUUGUAUACUAAUGAUCCAAAAGGAUGCCUUCACUUUGCAAACAACUUCUUGAAACAUGCACAAAACAGAUUCAUGUUACAUGAAGUUGAGGCUGCAUUUUCAAAUUGCCUGGAGGAAUAUCUACCCCAUGUAUUAAAAGCGAUAGCGCGCCUUGCUCAACAUAACCCCCAAGGCCGGCAGUAUCUAGUUGACGUGCUUUCGAACAAAAACGCAGAUAAAUCGUCAGGAAACUAGGUUGGAGAGAUUUCGUGACAGGAAACUAGAUUCAUAGAUGAAGCAGCAAUCUGGAGGUGCUGCGAAUGAGUCGUAUCUUGCUCGCCUCAUGGAGGCAUGUAUCUUCUUUGUUUCUUUGGACCGGUGUUGUAUGUGUUGCAGCAUGGCGGGAUGGCGGCAUGCUGGAAUACAAAGAAAAACAACCAUAGUUGUUGUACCGUAUGAACAUCACUGCAUUCGCUCUUAAUUUAGUAGUACUAGUAACUUGUUGUGCUGCAGGAGUACUACUAUUAUCAUUACUACAUGUUUGUAUGCCUGUCU